AAACUUUUGGCUUUGUGGUUGUGAUGUUGUGUUUGCAAGUUGUCUGGAAAACCAGACUUUGUAGCUUAAGCUACUGUUUUUUUUCACUUCCUGU
Molecule: unclassified non-coding RNA, 94 nt
Filed under: Xenorhabdus doucetiae
Lineage: Bacteria; Pseudomonadati; Pseudomonadota; Gammaproteobacteria; Enterobacterales; Morganellaceae
Description: GcvB
Rfam family: GcvB RNA
About the family: The gcvB gene encodes a small untranslated RNA involved in expression of the dipeptide and oligopeptide transport systems in Escherichia coli. Included several unknown homologues in alignment (Bateman A pers obs). It base-pairs with SorC.
Source: RNAcentral